This 72-nucleotide transfer RNA is filed under the name Bos taurus (domestic cattle). It matches the Rfam family "tRNA". Rfam says of the family: Transfer RNA (tRNA) molecules are approximately 80 nucleotides in length. Lineage: Eukaryota; Metazoa; Chordata; Mammalia; Artiodactyla; Bovidae. The record is from Rfam by way of RNAcentral. RNAcentral also lists the same sequence under 4 other names.
UCCCGGGUGGCUCAGAUGGUAAAGAAUCUGCCUGCAAUGCAGGAGACCUGGGUUUGAUCCCUGGGCCAGGAA